Molecule: ribosomal RNA, 253 nt
Filed under: uncultured bacterium
Lineage: Bacteria
Description: partial 16S ribosomal RNA
Rfam family: Bacterial small subunit ribosomal RNA
Source: RNAcentral
UACGUAGGUGGCAAGCGUUGUCCGGAAUUAUUGGGCGUAAAGGGCUCGUAGGCGGUUUGUCGCGUCGGGAGUGAAAUCCACUGGCUUAACUGGUGGCUUGCUUUCGAUACGGGCAGACUGGAGGUAUGCAGGGGAGAACGGAAUUCCUGGUGUAGCGGUGAAAUGCGCAGAUAUCAGGAGGAACACCGGUGGCGAAGGCGGUUCUCUGGGCAUGUCCUGACGCUGAGGAGCGAAGGCCAGGGGAGCAAACGGG